CUGCAAGGGUAUAAAAACUAUCGCGAUUUCGAUAUUUGGGUAAAAAAAAAUAACGAUAUAAACAUAUGAUUUAAAAAAUAUAUAUCGAUAUAGGAUCGAUCAACAACCCUACAAUAUUUUCGUCACUUGUAUUUUUGUUGUAUUUAUGGGUGCUUGGAUCUCAGUGAGCCAUCCCAUUUGGCACAUAGACUCCUAAAGAUCAACUCGACUAUAUAGCCGUCCGCUCAUUUUUUUGUUGUAUUUCAAUAAAUUGCUCAUUAAAUAAUUUAUCAGAACAUUAUUAAUGGUUUAAGUUUGACUCCAAAGGGUUUGGGUCCACAGCUUAACAAAGCGCAGGCUAAUAACGAGGCAGUAAUGGGCGAAGGCUCUAGCUACUUCGGGAGAACUAAUUGUGGAAUUACGAUUAGGACAUUUCUAUGCUGGAAAAAGUCCCAACAUCCUGCCGCCGUUGAAAGUUCCGCUUUUAUCAAAACUUUGAAGGAAGAUGGAACAGAUCGAUCAGGGUCCUAGACCAGAGAUGAUUGCAUGAGGAAUGGCAGGUUCAUGAGGCCUUUAAGGAUAGAGUUGUGAGAGCACUUUUCGGUUGAUACAAUCGUGAAAAACUUCAGCACCAUUAUAAGUGUGUAGGUUAGAGACAAGAAUUGCGACGCUCACUGAGAUGCAUCUGGACACGUAAUUUUUACUGCUAAAAACCGGUUGAAUAGGCAAUUUAACUGGCUGUGAAUUUGGUUAGUUUUGGUUUGGUCCUUAUUGGCAAUGUUUUUUUUUUAUGUAUAGUACUUCUUAUCAUUGUGUUAGGUGCUAGUGCGAGGGUCUCCCUGCCUUCGGUAUGCUGUGGAGGUUAACGGAUUGUUGCUCCUGUUUGUGAAAUUCUUUUGAGAGUUUCCGUCUUCAUUUCUGUUAGUAAUAAGCUCAUUUCUAGGUCAUGCUGAUUUGAAGCUGGAGGGUCGGCUGGUUUUUCUGAACGCAUAUUAAUGACCGGGCACUCCAGAGACACGAAUUCCAUGGCAUGUGCUGCUCAUCCUUCGAUUUCCCUGACAUGAAAUGUACAGUCGCAUUGUACACAGCUACGGCACAUGAUUACUUGCAUGUUUGUUCCCUUGUUGUACCCGUUAUCGGAUGACUCCUGAGUUUGCAGGUAGUCCCUAUCUUACUUUUGAAUUUCGGCAUUACGAAGAGGACAAGGUCUUGUUUGCGAAUUAAAUUGAAGUUUUUAUCAAAUACCAACAUAAAGCCGUAUUGUUACGCGUUGUGCAGUGCCAUAUUUGGGCAAGGAUAAAACCCGCAAUCACACAUGAAGAUCAAUCUAUAAAACCAGCUAAGUGAUCCCAUAGAAUGCAGAAAUUACCAGGAUUAUGAACACCAACAGAUACUUCGCCAAAGUAGAAACUAGAGACUUUAACACGCGACAUACGUACUGGGACUUUCUGAAUCCGAAAGACCCACAGCUUAACUUUGUGGAGAACAUCAAUAUCUUUACUAUCACUAUGGAAUCAGUAAUUGUCGCAGCAGCAAAAAUUGUAACACCAAGGAGCACAUACGAAUCGCGAAAUCUACUAGCCUGGCCCGCAAAUAAACACAGCGACACCAUCGACUCUGUCGGACCACCCAGAACUGAACCUACGCGUUGCUCCAUCGCUGUCACGAUCACUGUCGACGUUGCUGCUGCUGGCGUGCCUCGAUGUCAUUGGUAGCUGAUGUUGUUGCUGUAACUUUGCUCCUAAUUGGUCAAUAAAACUGCAUUGUGUUGUUGGUAGAUGCA
Drosophila ananassae is the source of this 1762-nucleotide long non-coding RNA. RefSeq lists it as uncharacterized. The record is from RefSeq and is a predicted model, not a curated record. The transcript is spliced from 3 exons. NCBI's taxonomy places the organism in Eukaryota, Metazoa, Arthropoda, Insecta, Diptera, Drosophilidae.